CGGUGGCUAAGAAGGCGGCUGUGGUGGCAGCGGUGGCGGCUGAGGCAGUAGCUGAGGCGGCGACAGAGGAAGCAGAAGAUGGCAGAUUUUUUGAAAGGACUGCCAGUCUACAACAAAAGCAAUUUUAGUCGAUUUCAUGCUGACUCUGUGUGUAAAGCCUCGAAUCGACGCCCCUCAGUCUACCUGCCCACGUGCGAGUACCCAUCUGAACAGAUCAUCGUGACAGAAAAAACAAACAUCCUUUUGCGCUACCUACAUCAGCAAUGGGACAAAAAGAACGCUGCCAAGAAGAGAGACCAGGAGCAAGUGGACCUCAAGGGCGAGAGCUCAGCGACUCCCCACAAGGUCGCACGGACCGACAGCCCAGACAUGCACAUGUCAGACCCAGUAGUGUGA
RNA transcript from Myotis davidii, 396 nucleotides. It is a transcript of the gene named DET1- and DDB1-associated protein 1 pseudogene, with no coding region annotated. Lineage: Eukaryota; Metazoa; Chordata; Mammalia; Chiroptera; Vespertilionidae. The transcript has a single exon. The record is from RefSeq and is a predicted model, not a curated record.